RNAcentral lists this ribosomal RNA (468 nucleotides) under uncultured bacterium. RNAcentral describes it as "partial 16S ribosomal RNA". It matches the Rfam family "Bacterial small subunit ribosomal RNA", at positions 28 to 507 of the family's 1533-position model. The record is from RNAcentral.
GACGAACGCUGGCGGCGUGCUUAAUACAUGCAAGUCGAACGGGAAGGCCCUGCUUUUGUGGGGUGCUCGAGUGGCGAACGGGUGAGUAACACGUGAGUAACCUGCCCUUGCCUUUGGGAUAACUUCAGGAAACUGGGGCUAAUACCGGAUAGGAGCUCUUGCUGCAGGGUGGGGGUUGGAAAGUUUCGGCGGUUGGGGAUGGACUCGCGGCUUAUCAGCUUGUUGGUGGGGUAGUGGCUUACCAAGGCUUUGACGGGUAGCCGGCCUGAGAGGGUGACCGGCCACAUUGGGACUGAGAUGCGGCCCAGACUCCUACGGGAGGCAGCAGUGGGGAAUAUUGCACAAUGGGCGGAAGCCUGAUGCAGCAACGCCGCGUGCGGGAUGACGGCCAGCGGGUUGUAAUCCGCAUUCGCCUUUGACGAAGCGUGAGUGACGGUAAUGGGUGAAGAAGCACCGGCUAACUACGUG